UCUUAUGUGGAUGAUGAUGACUGUUGCUGAGACUCUGUGAUUGCUCAGUCUUAAAGUAAAUGCCCUGAGGCACAGAGG
Small nucleolar RNA from Nannospalax galili (Upper Galilee mountains blind mole rat), 78 nucleotides. RefSeq annotates it as small nucleolar RNA U105B. The record is from RefSeq and is a predicted model, not a curated record. Lineage: Eukaryota; Metazoa; Chordata; Mammalia; Rodentia; Spalacidae. The transcript has a single exon.